This is a non-coding RNA of Elaeis guineensis (African oil palm), 296 nucleotides long. The record is from RefSeq and is a predicted model, not a curated record. NCBI's taxonomy places the organism in Eukaryota, Viridiplantae, Streptophyta, Magnoliopsida, Arecales, Arecaceae.
GUCCCAGGUCGCUUCCCUCUCUUUCUCGCCUAUCCGGUCUAACAGUCCUUGGCCAAGCUUGGUGGGAAGGCUAUGCCAAUAAGGAAUCCUGUUGUUGCUGCUGAUUUUUCAAGCUUGACUGGGACUGUGAAUCUGUACCUGAAGAUAGACCUGGUAGACAAGAUCAUUGUAGGUCCAUGCAGUUCCUUCUGAGUUCCCAAAUGGAAUAUACUCAUACGGCAUUGCAUAAGGCAGCUUCUGUAUUGCAGCUUCAAAGACAUCAAUGCAGUACCCACUGACAGUCGUCAUAUUUGUGA